UGCUUUUGUGGAGGGACGGAGUAUGAUUGAGAAUAUUCACUUGGCACAAGAGCUUUUGAGAAAAUACAAUCGCAAGAGAAUUGCUCCUAGAUGCCUUUUCAAAAUUGACCUUAGAAAGGCCUAUGAUUCCAUAAAUUGGAAUUUCCUUGAAAAAGUCAUUGAAGGAUUGGGGUUCCCCGCUACUUUUGUUGGUUGGAUUAUGGAGUGUGUGACAACUCCAUCUUAUUCCAUUGCUCUUAAUGGUAACCUUCAUGGGUUUUUCAAAGGAAAGAAAGGUCUACGCCAAGGUGACCCGUUAUCUCCUUACUUGUUUAUUCUAUGCCUUGAAUACUUCUCUAGAAUGGUUAAUGUGGCUACAAGCGAUAGUGAUUUCAAUUUUCAUCCUAAAUGUGCACACCUAAAGAUUUCACACUUGGCUUUUGCGGAUGAUUUGAUGCUUUUUGCAAGAGGGGAUGUGAUGUCGGUGGAUAUCUUAAUAAAGUGUCUUUCAACUUUUGGUGCCAUGUCGGGUCUCAAUAUAAAUGUUGGGAAAUCUUGUCUCUACACAGCGGGUAUUCAUGGUCAAGAAUUGGAGGAUAUCCUUGCACUUACUAAUCUUCCAGUUGGUACCAUGCCAUUUCGGUAUUUGGGCAUCCCACUUGCGGCUGAAAAACUGAAAGUGAGUUCUUAUGAUUCUUUCACCAAUAAAAUUUCUACUUAUAUUGGUGCAUGGUCGACUUCUUCUUUGUCAUAUGUGGGUAGAGCAGAAUUUGUAAGAGCCGUUCUACAAGGAGUGGAAUGUUUCUGGUUAUCCAUUUUCCCCAUCCCGGCUACGGUUACUUCAAAGAUUAUUAGUCUUUGCCGAAGGUUCCUAUGGGGAUCCAAAAAACCGUUGGUUGCUUGGAAUCAAAUUUGCCUACCUAAGCAUGAGGGUGGGCUUGGUUUUAGAGAUAUCAAAAGUUGGAAUGCCGCACUCCUUUCUAAAACUCUUUGGAACAUUCAUAGCAAAAAGGAUUCUUUAUGGAUUAAAUGGAUAAAUGAAGUACAUCUUCGAGGCUCGGACAUUUGGAAGUAUAAAGUGAGAAAAGGUGAUUCUCCACUACUUAAAAGGCUUCUGGAAAUAAGAGACAGUAUUGUUGAACCCCAAAAUGAACUUCAAACUGGAAUGGACAGAUUAUUCAGCUGGACAGAAUCUGGGAUUUUUAGCACAAAAACUGCCUAUGAGUUCUUCAGACCGAAGGGAGUUAAAACUGCAUGGGCUACCUCUGUUUGGGACGGUUCCAUCAUACCUAAACAUGCCUUCAUCCUAUGGUUAGCUGUUCGGGGUAAACUACAGACAAAGGACAGAUUAUGGUAUCUCCAGAUCGACCGAAAGUGCCCAUUCUGUGCACUCACGGAUGAAUCUACCCAGCACCUAUUCUUUUCAUGCCGAUUUUGUAGAGAAGUUUGGGAUCAUAUCCGGGAUUGGUUGGCUAUUCGGCGUAGCAUGUCCACCUUGUUGAGCUCAUUAAAAUGGAUGAAAAAGGAAGCUCGAGGUAAGAGUUGGCCUAGUAGAGCAAAACGUAUUGCACUUGCAACAACCGUGUACUACAUUUGGAUGGAAAGGAAUAAAUGUAUUUUUGAAGGUAUCAAGCCGCAAGUUGAAUCCAUUGUUAGACGAAUUAAAACAUACAUAUACAAAGCGAUGUUUACUUUGUAUCCGUAUGUUUUGAUUCACUUCGAAUCUUUACUUGCAGGGCUUUAAACCUUUGUUGGCACAUCUCUUUUCAUUUGCUCGCUCCCGGGUAUGCCCGGAGUAANAAAAAAAAAGACAAAUGAAACAUGAAUAUUCACAUUUUCUCCGGCAGCAAGAAUCACCAAUUUACCAUCUUCAGCAGUUUUUUUGCUACCGACAUUGGUGCUUCAAGGUAAUAACAACCUUUUGCAGUCAUUGUCUGAAAGCAUCGGAAGAUAGUGUUUAAUGACCAACAUGAAUGUACCUUUCUUGGUCCCGUUCCAUUUUCCAGUUUCCAUCUGAUUAAACUCAAGAAUUGUGUAUGCAAGUCGAAAUCAAAAUAAUAAAGUCACGCUUUCUAUAAGCAAAAUGCAUUCAGAGAAGCUAGGAGAUCAACAGUAUGUAUUGAUUUUAAAAUCUGAAAAUGCCUUCAUGUAAAUUAUGUUAGCUUCCAAAAAGAUAUGAGAAAGCACAUCAAAGAUUCAAGUUUAUGCAAUAGAAGACUUUACGCAGUCAAUUCUAAACUGUUAAUUUUUAGCAAGUCUCGACAUCAACAGUUGAUACGUCAAUGUUUCCUUAUCCAGGAUCCAUUUGCUCUAGUUAGAGAGGUCGACCAACUUGUUACAGCUCGAUUAGGUCGGGUACCUCAGCUGCAGUUUGUUUCCUUUAAGAAAAUAUUCAAAUGUAAAAACCAAAAGAUAGAGAGAGAUAUCACUACAUAAAGGCAAAAAACAUAAAUAUAAUCUGCCAAAACAAAAGAUAACUUCAAGAAAAGAAACUAAUUGCUAAGGCUAAUUAUUCCCUCAGAGAUCUUUGGACAUCAUACCUUGAGAUGGCAAUAGCUAAAAGUAAUUUCUCCUAAUGUAAGAUUCUGGGGCUAUUUAGUAGAUCUAUGGCAGGUAAGGAAGAACUAAAGAGAAAGUUUAGCCAGCUUCAAUAACCAAUGGAGUGGGUAAAUUACUGGAGGUUCCAAACCCCAAUUUUUUUGGAAAUUCUACAAUAUAGAGCUCAGAACAAAGCUAAGAGCAUAAUCAUUUGAACAUAUCAACCUUUAAAACUAACUGUGGUAUAGCCAUAGGAUUUGAAUAAGCCUUACGAGUCCAAUGAUAUACACUGUGGCAAUAAUAAAGAAUUUUUUUAAAUGGGAAAAAAAAAACUUUCCAAGCUUUCUUAAUUGCAUUGUUUUAGAUUACAAUGAAUUGUGAGAGUGACAAAGCUAAAACCCUGUUGGAGAUAAUAUAAUGCUCGAAAACCACGUACCUGAUACAAACAUAAGAGAGCGAUUACCAAAUAUGUGAUACUGCUUACGGCCUUUUCCAGCUGCAGUUUCAGGAAUGCUCAAAUGAGAGUGCUCUGCUGCAUCAGCUUUGUGCUGAUAGGAAUAGAAGCCUCAAUUCCCAUGUCCUAACUUACCUAUAAAAACAUUAUAGCAGAAUGAUAUCAGCUUCAGGCACAGAAACUACAUUCAGAAGCAGCAAUUUAUUAAGAAGUUCGUUCAAAUAUGCACAAGAACUCCACAGUACAAGGUCCA
Molecule: long non-coding RNA, 3224 nt
Filed under: Olea europaea subsp. europaea
Lineage: Eukaryota; Viridiplantae; Streptophyta; Magnoliopsida; Lamiales; Oleaceae
Source: RNAcentral